AGCAGCCGCGGUAAUUCCAGCUCCAAUAGCGUAUAUUAAAGUUGUUGCAGUUAAAAAGCUCGUAGUUGAAUUUCGGGGUUCUACCGUUGGUCGGGCUUUGUCUGCACUGGCGUGUAGAAUUUCUAUCUUCUGGGGAACCAUCAUGUUAUUAAUUUAACGUGGUGGGAAACCAGGACCUUUACCUUGAAAAAAUUAGAGUGUUCAAAGCAGGCUUAUGUCUGAAUACGUUAGCAUGGAAUAAUAGAAUAGGACGGUGGUCCUGUUUUGUUGGUUUCUGAAUCACCGUAAUGAUUAAUAGGGAUAGUUGGGGGCAUUAGUAUUCAAUUGUCAGAGGUGAAAUUCUUGGAUUUAU
RNAcentral lists this ribosomal RNA (352 nucleotides) under uncultured Racocetra. Its description in RNAcentral is "SSU rRNA". It matches the Rfam family "Eukaryotic small subunit ribosomal RNA", at positions 569 to 929 of the family's 1831-position model. Lineage: Eukaryota; Fungi; Glomeromycota; Glomeromycetes; Diversisporales; Gigasporaceae. The record is from RNAcentral.